RNAcentral lists this ribosomal RNA (901 nucleotides) under Bacillus sp. TA4. Its description in RNAcentral is "bacterial SSU rRNA". It matches the Rfam family "Bacterial small subunit ribosomal RNA", at positions 35 to 919 of the family's 1533-position model. Lineage: Bacteria; Bacillati; Bacillota; Bacilli; Caryophanales; Bacillaceae. The record is from RNAcentral.
GCGUGGGGCUGCUAUAAUGCAGUCGAGCGGAGUUAUUUUGAAAGCUUGCUUUCAAAAUAACUUAGCGGCGGACGGGUGAGUAACACGUAGGCAACCUGCCCUCAAGACUGGGAUAACUACCGGAAACGGUAGCUAAUACCGGAUAAUUUCUUUUUUCUCCUGAGAGAAGAAUGAAAGGCGGAGCAAUCUGCUACUUGGGGAUGGGCCUGCGGCGCAUUAGCUAGUUGGUGAGGUAACGGCUCACCAAGGCGACGAUGCGUAGCCGACCUGAGAGGGUGAACGGCCACACUGGGACUGAGACACGGCCCAGACUCCUACGGGAGGCAGCAGUAGGGAAUCUUCCGCAAUGGGCGAAAGCCUGACGGAGCAAUGCCGCGUGAGUGAUGAAGGUUUUCGGAUCGUAAAGCUCUGUUGCCAGGGAAGAACGUCCGGUAGAGUAACUGCUACCGGAGUGACGGUACCUGAGAAGAAAGCCCCGGCUAACUACGUGCCAGCAGCCGCGGUAAUACGUAGGGGGCAAGCGUUGUCCGGAAUUAUUGGGCGUAAAGCGCGCGCAGGCGGUCAUUUAAGUCUGGUGUUUAAACCUUGGGCUCAACCUGAGGUCGCACUGGAAACUGGGUGACUUGAGUACAGAAGAGGAAAGUGGAAUUCCACGUGUAGCGGUGAAAUGCGUAGAUAUGUGGAGGAACACCAGUGGCGAAGGCGACUUUCUGGGCUGUAACUGACGCUGAGGCGCGAAAGCGUGGGGAGCAAACAGGAUUAGAUACCCUGGUAGUCCACGCCGUAAACGAUGAGUGCUAGGUGUUAGGGGUUUCGAUACCCUUGGUGCCGAAGUUAACACAGUAAGCACUCCGCCUGGGGAGUACGGUCGCAAGACUGAACUCAGAGAUUUUUUAGGGGA